RNAcentral lists this ribosomal RNA (253 nucleotides) under uncultured bacterium. RNAcentral describes it as "partial 16S ribosomal RNA". It matches the Rfam family "Bacterial small subunit ribosomal RNA", at positions 524 to 776 of the family's 1533-position model. The record is from RNAcentral.
UACGUAGGGUGCGAGCGUUAAUCGGAAUUACUGGGCGUAAAGCGUGCGCAGGCGGUUUUGUAAGCCAGAUGUGAAAUCCCCGGGCUUAACCUGGGAAUGGCAUUUGGGACUGCAAGGCUAGAGUGCGGAAGAGGGGACUGGAAUUCCUGGUGUAGCAGUGAAAUGCGUAGAUAUCAGGAGGAAUACCGAUGGCGAAGGCAGGUCCCUGGGUUGACACUGACGCUCAUGCACGUAAGCGUGGGGAGCAAACAGG